GCUGAAGUCNGGUGCUUGCACUAGACGGAUGAGUUGCGAACGGGUGAGUAACGCGUAGGUAACCUGCCUCAUAGCGGGGGAUAACUAUUGGAAACGAUAGCUAAUACCGCAUAACAGUAUUUACCGCAUGGUAGAUACUUGAAAGGAGCAAUUGCUUCACUAUGAGAUGGACCUGCGUUGUAUUAGCUAGUUGGUGAGGUAACGGCUCACCAAGGCAUCGAUACAUAGCCGACCUGAGAGGGUGAUCGGCCACACUGGGACUGAGACACGGCCCAGACUCCUACGGGAGGCAGCAGUAGGGAAUCUUCGGCAAUGGGGGCAACCCUGACCGAGCAACGCCGCGUGAGUGAAGAAGGUUUUCGGAUCGUAAAGCUCUGUUGUAAGAGAAGAACUGUGAGAAGAGUGGAAAGUUUCUCACUUGACGGUAUCUUACCAGAAAGGGACGGCUAACUACGUGCCAGCAGCCGCGGUAAUACGUAGGUCCCGAGCGUUGUCCGGAUUUAUUGGGCGUAAAGCGAGCGCAGGCGGUUUGAUAAGUCUGAAGUAAAAGGCUGUGGCUUAACCAUAGUACGCUUUGGAAACUGUCAAACUUGAGUGCAGAAGGGGAGAGUGGAAUUCCAUGUGUAGCGGUGAAAUGCGUAGAUAUAUGGAGGAACACCGGUGGCGAAAGCGGCUCUCUGGUCUGUAACUGACGCUGAGGCUCGAAAGCGUGGGGAGCGAACAGGAUUAGAUACCCUGGUAGUCCACGCCGUAAACGAUGAGUGCUAGGUGUUGGGUCCUU
Molecule: ribosomal RNA, 781 nt
Filed under: Streptococcus sp. 1983-03a
Lineage: Bacteria; Bacillati; Bacillota; Bacilli; Lactobacillales; Streptococcaceae
Description: bacterial SSU rRNA
Rfam family: Bacterial small subunit ribosomal RNA
Source: RNAcentral